This is a long non-coding RNA of Bactrocera dorsalis (oriental fruit fly), 809 nucleotides long. RefSeq lists it as uncharacterized. NCBI's taxonomy places the organism in Eukaryota, Metazoa, Arthropoda, Insecta, Diptera, Tephritidae. The transcript has 2 exons. The record is from RefSeq and is a predicted model, not a curated record.
AACCCAAAAGUAGUACUUACAGCGAGCAAGACACUAAGAGUGGACCCUCAAAGACGAACUGAGCGUAAAUACGCGUGUUGCUUAAAUGAAAAAAUGCGUUCGGCUCGGCUUUAUGCGUCUUUAUAGCCACUUCCUUAUCUGCCAAUAUCUCCAAACUUGCUACCAACUGCAACGCAGAGAGUAAGAAAUUAGCGCGUAAGCUCAGCAUUGCGCUCAGCCUGCCAACUGAAACGCUCUCCGCAAAUAAAUGCAAGUCUAUCUUGUUUACCUUUUUUCUUUUUUCACUCUAACUCUUCCAAUCUCCAAUAACAAUCGACGAACAUAAUAGCCAAGCAACAACCAUUCAAGCUUAAAAUGUCAAAGACCAGCUUUUUUACUGCUUUUUGCAACAGCAACUUGCAUCGCUAAGUUCAGCUCAACGGCAUUGGCAGAGCGCGCGGCGGCUGGUUGACUGCCUCGCUUUGGAAGACCGCUUAGAAUCCGCAUCAUCAACAGCGGCUCCGACAGUUGAGUACGUGAAUUUGAGCGCGCCGGUUGUGUGAGCUGCGCGCACGUUGAACGAAAAAGCGGAGGAUUAACUAGUAAACUAACGGCUCGUAUUAAAACCACGACGACGCAUAGUGACUAUGUAAAUAUAAAAGCAAAACAAGAGUUAAUAGUUUUUAGCGCUGCCUGUGCGCCGUUGACUUGGAAAACCUGAAUUACGAGCUUAAAAGAAUACGAAAAAGAAAGCAAAAAAGACAAUAAUAAUAUCAUAAAAAAGUUGCUAUUAAUCAUAUCACUGUUUUGCAACAACAACUGCACGAAAA